CUCUGGUGGCGAGUGGCGAACGGGUGAGUAAUAUAUCGGAACGUACCCUGGAGUGGGGGAUAACGUAGCGAAAGUUACGCUAAUACCGCAUACGAUCUAAGGAUGAAAGUGGGGGAUCGCAAGACCUCAUGCUCGUGGAGCGGCCGAUAUCUGAUUAGCUAGUUGGUAGGGUAAAAGCCUACCAAGGCAUCGAUCAGUAGCUGGUCUGAGAGGACGACCAGCCACACUGGAACUGAGACACGGUCCAGACUCCUACGGGAGGCAGCAGUGGGGAAUUUUGGACAAUGGGCGAAAGCCUGAUCCAGCAAUGCCGCGUGAGUGAAGAAGGCCUUCGGGUUGUAAAGCUCUUUUGUCAGGGAAGAAACGGUGAGAGCUAAUAUCUCUUGCUAAUGACGGUACCUGAAGAAUAAGCACCGGCUAACUACGUGCCAGCAGCCGCGGUAAUACGUAGGGUGCAAGCGUUAAUCGGAAUUACUGGGCGUAAAGCGUGCGCAGGCGGUUUUGUAAGUCUGAUGUGAAAUCCCCGGGCUCAACCUGGGAAUUGCAUUGGAGACUGCAAGGCUAGAAUCUGG
RNAcentral lists this ribosomal RNA (572 nucleotides) under Oxalobacteraceae bacterium. RNAcentral's name for it is "bacterial SSU rRNA". It matches the Rfam family "Bacterial small subunit ribosomal RNA", at positions 83 to 651 of the family's 1533-position model. The record is from RNAcentral. Lineage: Bacteria; Pseudomonadati; Pseudomonadota; Betaproteobacteria; Burkholderiales; Oxalobacteraceae.